RNAcentral lists this ribosomal RNA (496 nucleotides) under uncultured bacterium. RNAcentral's name for it is "partial 16S ribosomal RNA". It matches the Rfam family "Bacterial small subunit ribosomal RNA", at positions 29 to 507 of the family's 1533-position model. The record is from RNAcentral.
AUGCACGCUGGCGGCGUGCCUAAUACAUGCAAGUCGAGCGAACAGACGAGGAGCUUGCUCCUCUGACGUUAGCGGCGGACGGGUGAGUAACACGUGGAUAACCUACCUAUAAGACUGGGAUAACUUCGGGAAACCGGAGCUAAUACCGGAUAAUAUAUUGAACCGCAUGGUUCAAUAGUGAAAGACGGUUUUGCUGUCACUUAUAGAUGGAUCCGCGCCGCAUUAGCUAGUUGGUAAGGUAACGGCUUACCAAGGCGACGAUGCGUAGCCGACCUGAGAGGGUGAUCGGCCACACUGGAACUGAGACACGGUCCAGACUCCUACGGGAGGCAGCAGUAGGGAAUCUUCCGCAGUGGGCGAAAGCCUGACGGAGCAACGCCGCGUGAGUGAUGAAGGUCUUCGGAUCGUAAAACUCUGUUAUUAGGGAAGAACAAAUGUGUAAGUAACUAUGCACGUCUUGACGGUACCUAAUCAGAAAGCCACGGCUAACUACGUG